Manis javanica (Malayan pangolin) is the source of this 1640-nucleotide non-coding RNA. Lineage: Eukaryota; Metazoa; Chordata; Mammalia; Pholidota; Manidae. The record is from RefSeq and is a predicted model, not a curated record.
GUUCCUCUCUGUUUAAAACAGAGCAGUUUACUUUGGAAAGUGAAGAAUGGAAUCCUUGGGAAGGAGAUGAAAAAUAUGAGCAACAACACAGACUUAAAACUAGCCUUCAAAUAUUAAAUAAAUCCACAAAAGGGAAAACAGACUUCCAUGUACAAAUCUGGGGCAAAGACUGUCAUUGAAAACAUGUAUGUAAAUAGACUGUAUGUCUGGGGAAAGGAAAUCCUGGGGCAAAAUACCUGUGAAACUGAAAUCAGUUAAAAGGAGAAAUAAAGUUAAAAUCCAUUUAUUUAAGCUUACAAACUGCAUCCCGGGAUCUUCUCUUUCCUGCUCCAGCAGAAGCAAAACCGUGCCCCCUCCUGCCCCCCCACCCGCCUCUCAGGUACAGAUAAGCCCUCAGCUGCCCAGGUUUUAUCUCUGGGAGCACAUUUUUGAAGGCUUACUUGAUCCCACUGAUGUGACGGUUCGGUGGAGAGAAGGAAAUUCAGUUGUAGGAAGAACACAUUACAGGUAAUAAUUAUGCAACUUGUGAACUUCUACUUCAACUUGUGAAGAAGAGGAGUAAAUCCCAUGAAUAUGUAUUUGUAGUUAAAAGCUUAUCCUGAACAUUUUCUUAUGAAGUUGGAUGUUAUAAAAUAUUCCUUUUUAUUAGAACCAUGUUUGUUUCAUUUUUAUCAAAAUAUUUCUGAUUAUAUAGAAAAGUUCAUGCUUUAACAUUUUGAUUGUUGAUAAGCAUUUAGCAUUCCAUUUCUUAGAGAAAUACUAUGUAAACUUAAGAGUAAUUUCAUUUUUCUCUCUCAUAUAAUAGUCAUGUUCACAUAUUUUUAUAAUAUUCAAGUAGUAUCAAAGCUGUUCUUAGGAGUUUUAAAUAUUGUAUUUACUAAAAUGUAUUUCAUAUGUGAGUUCUACUAUGAUAUGAUGAUAUAGAUUACCAUUAUACUACAGUACUCCAGAAAUCUCUUCCUAAAUUGUUUUCUACUGAAGAAUAGUUGACAUACAGUAUUAGGUAUACAAGGUAGUGAUUCACAAAUUAUGUACAUUAUGAAAUGCUCACAAUAAGUGUGGUUACCAUCUGUCACCAUAUAAAGUUAUUAUAAUAUUAUUGACCAUAUUCCCUGUCCUACACAGAAAUCUUAUUUUUUAGAUUCAAUAAAACUUGCAUAUUCUUAAGACUUUGAGCUUUUAUUUUUAUAAAACUCAUAUCUGUGAUUACAUAUUUUCUAAAGUUUUUAAAUAGAAUUAAGGUCUUUAUUUAGACAAAUUGUGAUAAUUUUGGUAUAUGAAAGAAUGCUUUUUUCUACUGGAUUUUGCUUUCUUACUGAAAUAAAAAAAAUUAUUAUUAUUUUAAAUUGCUUUCUUCUUGUAACAAUUGCAUUAGGGGAAAAAAUGUGCACCAAAGAUUCUGGUUUCUGUUAGGAUUCCAUGUCUUUCCCACAAAAGUCAAGAGAAAAAUCGCACUAUCAUUGGAAUUUUCACUCCUUUAAUUCUUUCUUCAUAUAGUUUUUUGAAAGUAAAGUCACUUUAUGUAUCUUUUCACAGUAAUCAUUCUCCAAAAGUUAUAGGCUUUUAAAUUAUUAUUGGUAAUCAUUAUUUUUCUUUUCACCCCCAGGCUUCUAUUGAUAUAAUGCUAUUCAAAAUUUUAU